CCCUUCAGAGGGGGACAACAGUUGGAAACGACUGCUAAUACCGCAUACGAUCUAAUCUCGGCAUCGAGGAUAGAUGAAAGGUGGCCUCUAUGUAUAAGCUAUCACUGAAGGAGGGGAUUGCGUCUGAUUAGCUAGUUGGAGGGGUAACGGCCCACCAAGGCGAUGAUCAGUAGCCGGUCUGAGAGGAUGAACGGCCACAUUGGGACUGAGACACGGCCCAG
RNAcentral lists this ribosomal RNA (221 nucleotides) under uncultured bacterium. Its description in RNAcentral is "partial 16S ribosomal RNA". It matches the Rfam family "Bacterial small subunit ribosomal RNA", at positions 129 to 334 of the family's 1533-position model. The record is from RNAcentral. RNAcentral also lists the same sequence under 1 other name.